This is a non-coding RNA of Ictidomys tridecemlineatus (thirteen-lined ground squirrel), 2582 nucleotides long. The record is from RefSeq and is a predicted model, not a curated record. NCBI's taxonomy places the organism in Eukaryota, Metazoa, Chordata, Mammalia, Rodentia, Sciuridae.
UUUAAUAGGACUUACAUCAGUAAAUUUGAAUGUUUGUUCUUGCUUACAACCGGAAUUUCCAGGUCCUGGCCAGAUAUGCAGAAAGGAAUUAAGGGUUUGGAUAGUUUUUCGAUAUAAUUUGAAGCUGUUUAUCAUCUCAUCGUUUAAGAAUCGCUCCCCUUUCCGCACACCCAUUGCUGCCUCCCCUCGGGCUCGGUACGAGAGUCCCUGCGCCAAGCCAGGUUGCUCUGGGCCAGUUCGCGCUCCCGCGCCUCCGCGCUCGUCCACUCCUAUCCUCCUCAUCUCUUUCGAGCCAGUCUCUGAAUUUUUCGUUUAAAGCCGGUGGCAUUUCCGCGUGGAGAUGAAAAGGCAAGUGGCAGAGGUCAUCUAGCAAAGGAGGCUGAGGAUGUCGGGGUCCGCGGGCAGUUCCUUGUCUGGGUUACGGCUUUCCACCUCCCAGCGGCGCGGGGCCUGCCUGGGGCUUGACCUCUCCGCUGCCUCUGCCCGCAUGCACAGGAGCGCACACCGCGGCCCGCGGGCCGGGAUGUCUCCACCAUGUUCUCCUGUCUGCGCGCCCAGCGCUGGGUUCUCGCGCCUAAAUCCCAGUACCCAGCGGGGACCGAGAAGGUGUGUGUCCCCCUGUAGUGGGUUGAAUCGGUUAUUAGCAGAGGGAUCAGACCGGCGGCGGGAGGGCGAAGUUUCUCCUGCCGUCCGGACCAACCGGGAUCGCGAUUUCCCAGGACCGGCCCGACGGUCGGGCUGGUGGAGGCCUGAGCGGGCAGAGAGGGAGGGAGACAGCUCAACUUCUUUACAGAAGCGGCAUUGAGGCCAACAGGGUUGUGAGCAACGGAGUUCACAUCGUUACGGCGCUGCCCUGAAACUCUGGGCCUUCCUGAACCUCUGCUGUCACUUGGUGCGCUCACCAUCCUUGGUGAAGUUACUGCCCGCGGGCGCACCGGCCUGCAAACGGAGGGAGGUGCGGGCGGGAGCAGAGGCCGCCCUCCCUGGAUCUCUCUCCUGCCUGUCACAUCUGCAUUUAUUUAAAGCUCGGCUGGUGGUCCUCGCUCUCUGGAAUGCCAGUUGCGGGCCUGGCCUCCUACGACAUUCGCAUUGAUUAGUGAGCCUUUAUGGAAGUAGUGGGGGCAUAGAGAAGGCCGGAGAUUCACAAUAUUCAGCCUGCCCCCAUCGCUCGAGCUAGCCUGGAGCCCAGCGAUUCGCACUCACCAGAUGGCUGAGGGCGUCUAGGAUCAGAGACCCGAACUUCGAGAACAUUCCAUAUGCAUGGGAACUGACCUUUGUCACUUAAUACGUAGUGGUCGGGUGUGCACAGACAUCGCAGAAUCUCUGCCGGCUCCCGCGCCGAAUCACACAGAAGUGAACAAGUGCUGUCACCCCAGGUCCUAAAGUGUAUGAGCAGCUUUCUCUGUAUGAAACUCUUUAAGAAAUAGUUUCUGGUGCAAAUCCAGAAAAAAAAAAUUAAAUUGACAUGCCUCGUUUAAAAUACUGCACAUAAAGCGUAAAAAAGACACCGGUAACUUUCAUGGGAGACGCCACCCCAAGCGAUAGAAGCCGGGUGCAAAUUCAUCGUUGAAAAACAAGUUGGGUUCCAGCUUACUGUGAAUCUCUUAAGGGUGGUUGGGAGCAAAUGACAGGGGAGACCUUGGAUUCUCUGAGUCCCCCCCAAAUCCAGUCUGAUUUUGCAUUUGCUUUUGGAUUUGAUAUAAUUAAGGGUGAAAAUAAGGCCCUUCUGUUUUUCUAUUACCCUUUGCUUUUCUGCAAAGCUUUUACCCCAGAGAAAAGUUGUUUUAGUAAUCUGGGAAAGAGAAACCAUGUGCUGAGUCAGCAAAAACGCGGCACUAGGCCAGUUCAGUUCAAUAAUACCGGUAUGUGUAAUGUACACACUCUAUACGCCUUUGUGGAAAUAAUGAAAAAUAUAUUGGAAUUUUCAUGGCAUUAAAAAAUACCCACAAAACCUGUUGGCAGUUGAGAGGCCAGGUUGAGUUAAGUGGCGUGUCUUCUAAUACACGGAAAUACAUUCUGGACAUGUUUCCUAACAAGGGUUAGAUCUCACAACACUUAACAUGGAAGCAAAUGAGAAAUACAAUUCUCAAAACAAAAUGUUUUUUUUUCAAAUGGUCGCAUUGCGAAAGUUAAAACAAUCCUUUCUGCCUAAGGUCUGUGACUUGCAUCCAAGGUGACUCCAGUGAAUUGAAUCUUAGGUUUUUGUUUUGCACCAAUAAGACCAUUUCUUCAAAAAUGCAUCUUUAAAAGGUCCUAAACGUCUCCUUGCAAAUCCCAUUAGAACGUUGAUAACCUGUUGAUUUGCAUUCACAUUUGUGUUUAAGGAAUAAAUGUACUUAUGAAGAAGUCAUUGUUAAGCAGCUAUUUUUCAAAUGAUUGCUUGUAACUGUCCAAGUGUUAACCUGAAUUUGCAAAAUGUGAGCAUUUUAAUUAUUAAACAACAUUCCAAAUUGUAUUUUCAGUGACAGACACUCAGUAUUUCUGGGGAUAGUUCUUCAUGAUGCUUGUAAAUUUUUUAGUUGCAAAAAGUAUGGCUUUUUUUUUUUAAACUAGCAUGUUGAGUAAAAACAUUGAUGAAUUUG